AUUGAACGCUGGCGGCAGGCCUAACACAUGCAAGUCGAGCGAGCGGCGGACGGGUGUGUAAUGUAUGGGGACUGCCCGAUAGAGGGGGAUAAAUUCUGGAAACGGUAGCUAAUACCGCAACCUAUCGGAAAACCCAUAUUGGAAUAGCUAGUAGGUGAGGUAAUGGCUCAACUAGGCGGCGAUCCAUAGCUGGUCUGAGAGGAUGAUCGACAACACUGGUACUGGGACACGGCCCAUAAUCCAAGGGAGGCAGCAGUGGGGAAUAUUGCACAAGUGGCGCAAGCCUGAAGCAGCCAUGCCGCGUGUAUGAAGAAGGCCCUAGGGUUGUAAAGUACUUUCAGUCGGGAAGCGUUACCGACAGAAGAAGCACCGGCUAACUCCGUGCCAGCAGCCGCGGUAAUAC
RNAcentral lists this ribosomal RNA (403 nucleotides) under uncultured bacterium. Its description in RNAcentral is "partial 16S ribosomal RNA". It matches the Rfam family "Bacterial small subunit ribosomal RNA", at positions 30 to 526 of the family's 1533-position model. The record is from RNAcentral.